AGCCCUAAGUGGGUGGUAAACUCCAUCUAAGGCUAAAUAUGACCACGAGACCGAUAGCGAACAAGUACCGUGAGGGAAAGUUGAAAAGCACUUUGAAGAGAGAGUUCAAGAGUACGUGAAACCGUUUAGGGGUAAACCUGAGAAACCCGAAAGGUCGAAGGGAGAAAUUCAUUCGCGUUUCGCGAUCGGCAUUAGGUUCGAGAGUGACGGGGAGCGUUUCGGCGCUGUUCCGCGCCACGAGCUUAACGAUCCGGCCGCGAACGCGUGCACUUUUCUCCUGGUAGGACGUCGCGAUCCGUUGAGUGUCGGUCUACGGCUGACGGUGGAGCCCGAGAGUACGAUUCGCGUCGUUGCUUUCGGACCCGUCUGUCCCGGCCGGCUCGCUCGACGGUACGCAAACGGUUUUAGGCCGCUCUUUCGAGCGUUCGACUCGCGGCAAGCGCGCCAUUCGUUGUCGGUGCGCGGACUUAGCGCCGCGCCUGACCUUUGGUGACUGUUGGCCGCGAUGUUCUCGAACAGACCUUUUACCGAUCGGCGACGCUAUAGCUUUGGGUACUUUCAG
Molecule: ribosomal RNA, 562 nt
Filed under: Allaeotes sp. CNCCOLVG00009742
Lineage: Eukaryota; Metazoa; Arthropoda; Insecta; Coleoptera; Curculionidae
Description: partial 28S ribosomal RNA
Rfam family: Eukaryotic large subunit ribosomal RNA
Source: RNAcentral